GGAGCUUGCUCCUGGAUUCAGCGGCGGACGGGUGAGUAAUGCCUAGGAAUCUGCCUGGUAGUGGGGGAUAACGUCCGGAAAACGGGCGCUAAUACCGCAUACGUCCUGAGGGAGAAAGUGGGGGAUCUUCGGGCCUCACGCUAUCAGAUGAGCCUAGGUCGGAUUAGCUAGUUGGUGGGGUAAAGGCCUACCAAGGCGACGAUCCGUAACUGGUCUGAGAGGAUGAUCAGUCACACUGGAACUGAGACACGGUCCAGACUCCUACGGGAGGCAGCAGUGGGGAAUAUUGGACAAUGGGCGAAAGCCUGAUCCAGCCAUGCCGCGUGUGUGAAGAAGGUCUUCGGAUUGUAAAGCACUUUAAGUUGGGAGGAAGGGCAGUAAGUUAAUACCUUGCUGUUUUGACGUUACCAACAGAAUAAGCACCGGCUAACUUCGUGCCAGCAGCCGCGGUAAUACGAAGGGUGCAAGCGUUAAUCGGAAUUACUGGGCGUAAAGCGCGCGUAGGCGGUUCAGCAAGUUGGAUGUGAAAUCCCCGGGCUCAACCUGGGAACUGCAUCCAAAACUACUGAGCUAGAGUACGGUAGAGGGUGGUGGAAUUUCCUGUGUAGCGGUGAAAUGCGUAGAUAUAGGAAGGAACACCAGUGGCGAAG
This 650-nucleotide ribosomal RNA is filed under the name uncultured Pseudomonadaceae bacterium. RNAcentral's name for it is "SSU rRNA". It matches the Rfam family "Bacterial small subunit ribosomal RNA", at positions 75 to 720 of the family's 1533-position model. Lineage: Bacteria; Pseudomonadati; Pseudomonadota; Gammaproteobacteria; Pseudomonadales; Pseudomonadaceae. The record is from RNAcentral.